Molecule: unclassified non-coding RNA, 224 nt
Filed under: Hevea brasiliensis (rubber tree)
Lineage: Eukaryota; Viridiplantae; Streptophyta; Magnoliopsida; Malpighiales; Euphorbiaceae
Source: RNAcentral
GCAAGGAAGAAGUUCCAGAAGUUAAGGAUCGACUUAGAAUGCUCUGAGAAGGUGCUUAAGUCAGAACAGAAAGCAAAAGCCAAUCUCUCGGCAAAAAAGCAAAUGAAGAAACCUUUGAACCGGACUGUGCAGGAACCUGUAGGCUCUGAUUUUUCCUCAGGUGCCACUCUUGCCACUACUGGUGAUCUCCAGAAUGGUUUAAUUCCUGCCCAAGCUAGUGGCUG